Molecule: ribosomal RNA, 22 nt
Filed under: uncultured bacterium
Lineage: Bacteria
Description: partial 23S ribosomal RNA
Source: RNAcentral
UGCCAAGUUAAUAAGGGCACAC